AUGGAGAAGCUUGGCAUGAAGGUCAUUACUGGUGUGAACUGUGUAACUAUCAAAAAGAGCAAGACCGUUACGUUUGUCCUCUCCAAGCCAGAUGUCUUCAAGAGCUCACACUCAGAAACCUAUGUCAUUAUCGGGGAGAUCAAGUUCGAGGACCUGAACACUGAGCUGCAGACACAAGCGGAGCAGUUCAAGGCGCCGGGCCCGAGCAGGGUCAAUUCGAUGGGUGAGCCCUCCGUGGCAGCAGUCCAAGAUGAUGAGGAGGUCGACGAGACCGGUGUUGACAAGAAGGACGUCGAGCUCGUGAUGAUGCAGGCCUCUGUGUCGAGAUCCGGGGCCGUGGAGGCACUCAAGGCUGCGGAUGGCGAUAUUGUCAGCGCCAUCAUGGAGUUGACUAACUACGUCCUGGAAGGUGGAGUUGUGUCCUGA
RNAcentral lists this ribosomal RNA (426 nucleotides) under Triticum aestivum (bread wheat). RNAcentral describes it as "partial small subunit ribosomal RNA". The record is from RNAcentral. Lineage: Eukaryota; Viridiplantae; Streptophyta; Magnoliopsida; Poales; Poaceae.